Molecule: ribosomal RNA, 250 nt
Filed under: uncultured prokaryote
Description: partial 16S ribosomal RNA
Rfam family: Bacterial small subunit ribosomal RNA
Source: RNAcentral
UACGGAGGAUGCGAGCGUUAUCCGGAUUUAUUGGGUUUAAAGGGUGCGUAGGUGGUUUGUUAAGUUUGUGGUGAAAGCGUGCGGCUCAACCGUACCAAGCCAUGAAAACUGGCGAACUUGAGUGCAAACGAGGUAGGCGGAAUGUGAUGUGUAGCGGUGAAAUGCUUAGAUAUGUCACAGAACCCCGAUUGCGAAGGCAGCUUACCAGCAUGCAACUGACACUGAGGCACGAAAGCGUGGGUAUCAAACA